GCCUGGGUGGCUCAGUGGUUGAGCAUCUGCCUUUGGCUCAGGGCAUGAUCCCAGGGUCCUGGGAUCGAGUCCCACAUCAGGCU
Molecule: transfer RNA, 83 nt
Filed under: Canis lupus familiaris (dog)
Lineage: Eukaryota; Metazoa; Chordata; Mammalia; Carnivora; Canidae
Also listed under: 2 other names
Rfam family: tRNA
About the family: Transfer RNA (tRNA) molecules are approximately 80 nucleotides in length. Their secondary structure includes four short double-helical elements and three loops (D, anti-codon, and T loops).
Source: Rfam by way of RNAcentral